UUGACAUCACUGGAAACUGAAGGCCUCUUUUGUCCACAGAACAGGUACAGCCCAGGCAGCGGCAGGGCAAAUUUCACCACACUGCCCUCCCAGUGUGCAUAAAUCCUAUAGUAAGGGAUGUAUACUGUAAGAAGAUAGUUUAGUGUAUGUUCCCAGUCAUUUUCUGAGCUUCG
This is an unclassified non-coding RNA of Apteryx haastii (Great spotted kiwi), 173 nucleotides long. Lineage: Eukaryota; Metazoa; Chordata; Aves; Apterygiformes; Apterygidae. The record is from Ensembl.